This 253-nucleotide ribosomal RNA is filed under the name uncultured bacterium. RNAcentral describes it as "partial 16S ribosomal RNA". It matches the Rfam family "Bacterial small subunit ribosomal RNA", at positions 524 to 776 of the family's 1533-position model. The record is from RNAcentral.
UACGUAGGGGGCAAGCGUUGUCCGGAUUUAUUGGGCGUAAAGAGCGUGUAGGCGGCCUGGAAGGUCAGCUGUGAAAACUCGAGGCUCAACCUCGAGACGUCGGUUGAAACCACCUGGCUAGAGUCCGGAAGAGGCGAGUGGAAUUCCCGGUGUAGCGGUGAAAUGCGCAGAUAUCGGGAGGAACACCAAUGGCGAAGGCAGCUCGCUGGGACGGUACUGACGCUGAGGCGCGAAAGCGUGGGGAGCGAACAGG